UCCACUUAUCUGCAUCUCCUCUUGAGCCUCUGUUUGAAAUGAUCUUGUGUGACAAGACAUGUCCUUCACUACACAGAGAUAAUUAUCUCCCCACUUUGAAUUGGCUUCCCCUCUGGCCACUCAGAUUUAAGUCUCAUUAUCCUUUGGCUCACCUGGACAGCGUUGGUCGCUGCACUUUCGGACUUCUUCUCCAUUGCCAUCACACUGCUGACCAGUCACUGCUGCCCCCUGACACACUCGUGCUCGCCUCUGCCAUCCGCCAUCGCACGACUUUGAGCAGCCACUCCACGGGCCCCAAGGAUUCCACUGGCCAUUAGCUGAAACAAAAAUCACUCUCAGUUAGAAGCAGAUGCUUUCAGACGCAUACAAUUAGCAAAUGAACUCACAGAAUAUUGGAUGACAUUGUUUUUUUUUUAUAUGGAACACAUUUAAGCUUCCAAUUAGGUUGCAGUCUGUUAUUAUCACAAAACUGUACAGGAUCUCUUGAUAUCUGAAUAAUUAAGAGACUGUGUGUUUUAUAGGUAGAGAAGGUGAUCUCCGAGUGGUGAUUAUUUGCCUCGCUUAAAUAUUAAAACACAUUAAUGCUGAAGUUUUCAAAAAACAGGCUGCAUGUUUUAUGUCCUUGUAAUGAACACUGUUAAAUCGUGCAUUAGACAAAAAACAGAUGUGGCCCCUUUAGCAAUGUAGUAAAUCACAUGCCCUUGUCUGAGCAGAGAGGUACAACACCCAGUGAGCAGGAAACGCACUCUACACUCAUUUGAACCUCCACUUACCCCCUACUUCACACAUGUGAAGGUGUUUCAUGUCCUACAGCUAACCUCUGUCAGAUCUGCUUCCACAAGAAAAGGAGACAUCAGAAACUGCCGUGUUCUGCUGGGUUUAAGAAUCAACAAGAACCAGAAGAUACUGAUCCCCUGUGUGUUUCAAAGAGCUCAAUGUGCAAGCGGGGCUAAAGAAGUUCCUCCAUGUGAUUCACAAUUCUGGUCAAGCCUUUAUUGUAAUCAUUAAUUUAACAAAAUCUUGUUUGGUUUCGUUUUUGAAAAUAAGGUUGUUGCAUUUUAGCACACUGAGUAACUCAAAGAUGUACAGUAUUUCACUCUUUCUUGAAUAAAUAUUGACUUCAUCUUCAGUGGUUUAAGUUUCACACACCUUCCCACCACACUUGCUCAUCGGCGGCUUAGACUGUCGUCUCACUAAUGUUUGAUCUCUCACCUUAGAAACAAAUCAGAAUUGCUAAAAAGGUCUGGCUCAUUAAAUGAAUAAAUUGUAUAAUGCAUCGUCCCACUGUGAGGAAAACAAUGGCAUCUCCUGCCUCAUUACCAUGCGCACAAAUUAAAAAUACAUAUUCAGGAGCAUUUACCAGUGCUUUAGUCAUGCAAGAGAGCAUAAGGUUGGCUCACUGGUUAUGCAACAUUCCCACUGAUUUUCAGCAAUUGCAGAGGAAUCACUUUGCUGCACACAUGCCAGUGUAAGACAAAAAAGAACAGCAGUUUUUACACUGCUUCAGUGAAAAUUGCAUCAGGAGAUUAUAAGGGUGCUCAGGCCCUUCACAUGAUCAAGUCAAUUCAAAGCCGGAUGGAGACCAUAAGCUGACAUCUUUAAGCCUCUAAUACAUCUAUGAUGUUGACAGACAGUUUGGACAGAUAACCCCAAAAUCAUGUGAAAUGCAUCAGUAUAACUGGAUUUCACAAAUCCAAUUGGUAUAGCAUGGCCUUAAAUAUUAUUUUUUAUUCUUACAACACAGAUUUUGUUCUUGCUACAGAGGGAGAGAAAGAGAACAAAAAACCCUGGCUCAAUUAAAUCAGACCCCAUAUUUAAUCUUACAUUGAGUUUAUGUGGGUUAUUACGGCACUCAUUAUUUUAAUAAUCUUUAUUGCUACACGAGACUGGGGAGUGUUUGUGAUUUGUCACACGUCACAUCAUGGUUUUAAAUUUAGACAUAAAAUCGGACAUAGAAUUAGGAGGCUCAGGAUUUUACCUGUGCAGUCAGGAUUAUGGCACUCUCUGCUUUCUGCCCAGUGACCGCGACACUCAGAUCCCCCAUGGGCGGCUGCUGAGCACUGCCUGGUCCUCUGCUGAGUGCCAUUGGCACAGGUCACCGAGCAAUCGCUCCAAGAGCUCCACUCCUGCCACUGUCCAUCCACUGAGGCACCAAACACAACCCAACAAGCAUGUCCCAAGUGGAGGGAAAAGAGGGCAGACAGAUAUGACAGGAACCAUCUGGGACUGAGCGGUUUUCACUGAGUCUGUAACCUGCCGAGCCAAGCUAACAUUUACUGUGUGGAAAAACUCAUCAUCGCUAAUCUGCUUACCACUCACAGGCUAUUGCUGGCACGGCCAUGAGCAAAUCGCACUGUGCUGCAAGGUGAACUUCUCCGACCAAUACAAGAUGGUGGCCAAGAGCAAAUACAUUUGCCAAGAGGGUUUUCACUCAAAGCGAGGGUUUGGUUGGCCUUCUCACACAUUUGAGUGAGUUUUGAAGUUUUUUGUUAUCCAACCUUACACAUCUAAGAAAUGGUUUUUGAAACUUUCUGAUUCACCGAGUUUUCUGAAUCAAUACUCCUAAUGUCAGAUAGUGAGUUUUUUCUUAUUGAAUCAUCUGUGAUAUAUAUAUAAAGACGGAUGUUUCUUGUCAAGUUCUUUUAGAAAAUGACUUAUCUUACUUGUACCCAUGGGAUUGUGUCUGUAAUUAUUGUUUUUGUUUCGGGUCAGCUUUCCUUUUGUGCUAUAACUUUUUUAUGUUCGAACAAUAACGAUAACUAUUAUUAAAACAGACAUGCAAUCACCUCUGCUGAUACCAAAACAGCAGGUGUU
Long non-coding RNA from Solea solea (common sole), 2814 nucleotides. RefSeq lists it as uncharacterized. The transcript has 3 exons. Lineage: Eukaryota; Metazoa; Chordata; Actinopteri; Pleuronectiformes; Soleidae. The record is from RefSeq and is a predicted model, not a curated record.